UUUUGGACAAUGGGCGAAAGCCUGAUCCAGCAAUGCCGCGUGCAGGAAGAAGGCCUUCGGGUUGUAAACUGCUUUUGUACCGAACGAAACGGUCUGCCCUAAUACGGCGGGCUAAUGACGGUACCGUAAGAAUAAGCACCGGCUAACUACGUGCCAGCAGCCGCGGUAAUACGUAGGGUGCGAGCGUUAAUCGGAAUUACUGGGCGUAAAGCGUGCGCAGGCGGUUAUGUAAGACAGUUGUGAAAUCCCCGGGCUCAACCUGGGAAUUGCAUCUGUGACUGCAUAGCUAGAGUACGGUAGAGGGGGAUGGAAUUCCGCGUGUAGCAGUGAAAUGCGUAGAUAUGCGGAGGAACACCGAUGGCGAAGGCAAUCCCCUGGACCUGUACUGACGUCACGCACGAAA
Molecule: ribosomal RNA, 403 nt
Filed under: uncultured bacterium
Lineage: Bacteria
Description: bacterial SSU rRNA
Rfam family: Bacterial small subunit ribosomal RNA
Source: RNAcentral